RNAcentral lists this long non-coding RNA (1393 nucleotides) under Mytilus galloprovincialis (Mediterranean mussel). Lineage: Eukaryota; Metazoa; Mollusca; Bivalvia; Mytilida; Mytilidae. The record is from RNAcentral.
UAAAAGAAUACAUUUUGUAAUAUGCAGGUUUAAGAAACGUUUCAUUAUUUAAUGGAAUGCACUGCAAAUGAACAGAAAACAAAUUUUCUUUUUGAGGCAGCAUGUCUUGUUUUUAUAUUUUACAAUAUGAUCUGAUUAUUUUGUUGAUGUAUUGUAUUUAAGUCAGAAAAUGUUAAUACUUCAGUGUCAGUAUUUAUUUAUAUGUGUGAACUUGUUUUGAAUCAUUCCAGAUUUCUGAAUACAUGUAUGUAUUUAAAGUACAAAAAUGAUCAAAUUUUCUUUUUAAUUUUAUACACCUUUGCAUUGGUGAUUUUUCUUUCUAUUUUUAAUGAUGUGUAAUUCUUGAAAUUCUUCUCAAUUUAUGCUUGUAGUGUAUAAAAAUGCUCAGUAACGACCUCUCAUUGGAUUCAACAUUGGUAUUUGUUUUCCUACUGAUAUCUAUGGUUACUGUUUUUUUUUAACUUCAAUAUGUAUGGUUGAAAAGAAUUUAGAAUGUGUUUUACAUAAUAUUGUUGAUAAUUAUGGUCAAAUAUAAAAAAGAAGAUGUGGUAUGAUUGCCAAUGAGACAACUAUACACAAAAGACCAAAAUGACACAGAUAUUAACAACUGCAUGGUUUUUUUUUUUUUUUUCAUAUACAACAAAUAUUUGGGCUUCAUAGAUACUAUUAUAUAAGAAUUUUGAUUUUUGAAUAGUCUAAAUGAAUUGUAAAUACAAAUGUAUUACUUAUUUAUGUGACAUUAUAAGUUUGGUGAUGAUAUGUAAGGAGAAAGUAUGUGCUUUAAUGGGUUAUAUACACAUUUGGCCUGUACAUCUGAUCUCAAACAAUGGUUGUGUUUUUUCUAAAUGAUGGAAAGGUAUCCAUUACAUACAAUAUUUUCUAAAACAUUGAAGGAAUUCCAGUUAAUGCUUAUUGACCAUUCUCAUUAUAAUAUUUAAUAGAAAGAUUUUGUAGGUUGUGGUAGCAAAUCAUUUCAUAAUUUAAAUUCUUUCACCCAUAUUUGUAAUAUCCACAUGUACAUCAACUUUAUUAUUCUAUUAGCAUAAUCUUUUGAUUUCUAUAUUAAAAAAUGUGGAUUGCAUCUCUCUUCUACAAGGUGCUGGAUGGGAAAGAGGGUAAGCUUAAAUUCUGUAUUCUUUAAAUUAUUUAGGUCACUUUUCUCUAUUCUCAAUUUAAUCCAGUUCAUCAAGAACAUUUAUAACACUAUUUUACUAGUAAAAGCACAGACAUUCUUUCUUGAUUUUUAUUAUCUGAAUCAUGUAUUUUGUUGGAGUUUUCAAUAGAAUAAACAUUUAUUUUACCAUUUCUAUAUUUAGAAUAAUCAUAGAAAGUUUGUAAAGAGAAAGUACAUUAAUUAUUUUAUUCAAGACCAACCUCUACAUAAUGUGAUAUU